AUUGAACGCUGGCGGCAUGCCUUACACAUGCAAGUCGAACGUGAAAGCGGGGCAACCCGCAAGUAGAGUGGCGGACGGGUGAGUAAUACAUCGGAACGUGUCCAGUAAUGGGGGAUAACCUAGCGAAAGUUAGGCUAAUACCGCAUACGAUCUGCGGAUGAAAGCGGGGGAUGCGGCACUAAAGGUCUUUUGGCGAAGGUGGCCAAAGGUGAGUCAAGAGUCUUUUAGUGCNGCACCUCGCGUUAUUGGAGCGGCUGAUGUCUGAUUAGCUAGUUGGUGAGGUAAAGGCUUACCAAGGCGACGAUCAGUAGCUGGUCUGAGAGGACGGCCAGCCACACUGGGACUGAGACACGGCCCAGACUCCUACGGGAGGCAGCAGUGGGGAAGUUUUGGACAAGUGGGGGCAACCCCUGAUCCAGCCAUGUCGCGUGAGUGAAGAAGG
RNAcentral lists this ribosomal RNA (442 nucleotides) under uncultured bacterium. RNAcentral's name for it is "bacterial SSU rRNA". It matches the Rfam family "Bacterial small subunit ribosomal RNA", at positions 30 to 414 of the family's 1533-position model. The record is from RNAcentral.